This is a long non-coding RNA of Alligator sinensis (Chinese alligator), 1769 nucleotides long. RefSeq lists it as uncharacterized. The transcript has 3 exons. NCBI's taxonomy places the organism in Eukaryota, Metazoa, Chordata, Crocodylia, Alligatoridae. The record is from RefSeq and is a predicted model, not a curated record.
GCUAACUUUUGAGCUUUAAUUGCUGAAAGCUUGUGCAGCAGAAAUAAUGGCCCAUUCCUGACUACACUGCACAAUAAUUCCAAGGCAGGGUCCCUCAUGUAGUGUACUACAAGGACUUCUGCUGCUUCCCCCGGUGGGAGUUGCACAUUCACUGUAACCACUGCCAGAGUGCACUUGCAGCCUGCCAUUGGAAUCCUGUUUGUCAGAUUUUCAGGCCUGCCACACCAAUUUUCCAGCUCGCCUCCCCUCCUUGGCUGCAGCUCAUUCUUUGGUUUGGCUGGCUUAGCUGCCUGCCCAAUAUGGCAGGAUGCUGCUUGCAAUAUCAUAUGCAAUAUUGCUCUCAUGGCAAGACAUGCCUUUUUUUGAUCCAUUCCUACCUUCUCCCCUCUCCAGCCCGAAUCAGGAUUUUAGCCUCUGUCCAGAAAAACAUUUAUGCCUAUGUUUAACUUCCAUUUACUGCUAGUUCUCCCCACAUACAUAGAGAUAUACAUGUGUUUAAGUGCUUUACUAGGUGUGAACUGAGGCCUUAAUACUCUUUAUAAGAAGCAUGCAGCAUACAUGCUUCAUGGUGUAUGUUAUUCUUAUUGAUUGUUUUGAAUCAUUUCUAGGUGGGUUUCAGCCCUGCCAAACUAUUUGGGGUUAAAUUCCAGCUAAAUUCUUUUUUUUUUUUUUUUUCCUAAUAUCAGAAAGCACUUUCUAGGCACUAACAGAGUUUUGAGUACUGCUCUUCCUUCUCUGCUGCCUUCCAGACAAAGCCAUAACACUGACAAAUUUUUAACAGCAAAAGUGAAAUGGGCACUCUAUUAGGUUGUGGCACCACUAGAUACAUGCCUAACAACCUUCUCUUGCCAUUAAAAAAGUGAUGCAUUAAUUGCUAGAUUUUACAACUAACAGAAUAUUGUCUUUAUGUGGACAGAUAACUUUUAAAAAUAGAUGCAAAUUUUUGUACUGAUAAUUACUUGCAUGCCUAGAUUGAAUAGUUGGAUGCUUUUUCCAGAGAUGAUUCCCCAGGACUAUAAUGCUGCUUAGUCCCACCUACACAAGCAAAAAGAAAACGAUGUUGUAAUCAAAUGCCUUGGCAUAGCUGUGGGGAGCAGAGCUGUCACAGUUAAUGUGAACAUCUCUGCAUCUUUUCCUUUUUUGUGAAAAUGGACAGUUAAAGAAUUUUAUAAAAGACUGAAGUUCCUUUCCUUACUCCCCCGUAAUAACUCAGGUCAUCCAGUAGGACUUUCUCUGUUAUGUGUAUGUAGAUCCAACACUUUUUUUUUUUUUUAAAGCACUGUCCAGUUAAGGUCUUAGAACUUCUUGUUACUGUUGGUUAACUAUGAAUAACGCCCCUUUCAAUGGUGACAUUUAUGAUGGUGUUUGAUGUAUUAUCGAUGUACUAUUCCCUUCAGCACUACUUAGUUGGGAGCACUGACAUGCUGUGGACCUGUACAUCUAAACACUAGGACCUGAGCCUGCUGCAUGCAACCUAAUGAACUGCUGACAUGCAACUGCUUUCCAACCUCUUCCAACUAGCUGUUGGUAGGUGAAAACCCUCCACCCUGCCUGGCUGGCAGUUUCAUGCCUUAUGCCACAAGGCCUUUGAACUGAAACUAUUAAUUAAAUUAUUUUAAAUUAAAUUACAAUGUAAAGUGUGGAAGUCCUUGCCACUUGAUAGGGUGGAUGCUGCCAAUUUAGCCAGAUUCAAAAUAGGAAUUGGUCACAUGCAUGGAGGUAAGGAGCAUAGGUGUGACGGGCACAGCCUCUGAAUCACAGCAUCCUAG